Molecule: ribosomal RNA, 503 nt
Filed under: uncultured Lachnospiraceae bacterium
Lineage: Bacteria; Bacillati; Bacillota; Clostridia; Lachnospirales; Lachnospiraceae
Description: bacterial SSU rRNA
Rfam family: Bacterial small subunit ribosomal RNA
Source: RNAcentral
AGAGUUUGAUCCUGGCUCAGGAUGAACGCUGGCGGCGUGCUUAACACAUGCAAGUCGAACGAAGCGCGCGGAAGGAAGGCCUUCGGGCCGGAGAGCCGCGGGACUGAGUGGCGGACGGGUGAGUAACGCGUGGGCAACCUGCCCCGUACAGGGGGAUAACAGCCGGAAACGGCUGCUAAUACCGCAUAAGCGCACAGCGCCGCAUGGCGCGGUGUGAAAAGCUCCGGCGGUACGGGAGGGGCCCGCGUCUGAUUAGGCAGUUGGCGGGGCAGCGGCCCACCAAACCGACGAUCAGUAGCCGGCCUGAGAGGGCGGCCGGCCACAUUGGGACUGAGACACGGCCCAAACUCCUGCGGGAGGCAGCAGUGGGGAAUAUUGCACAAUGGGGGAAACCCUGAUGCAGCGACGCCGCGUGAGCGAAGAAGUAUUUCGGUAUGUAAAGCUCUAUCAGCAGGGAAGAAAAAAUGACGGUACCUGAGUAAGAAGCACCGGCUAAAUACGUG